This is a long non-coding RNA of Mus musculus (house mouse), 508 nucleotides long. RefSeq annotates it as predicted gene, 30435. The transcript is spliced from 3 exons. The record is from RefSeq and is a predicted model, not a curated record. Lineage: Eukaryota; Metazoa; Chordata; Mammalia; Rodentia; Muridae.
GGCUGUUGUGGGGGUGGAGUUUAGACAGAAUGCUAAGAAUAUCUAGCAGCUUCCAGAACACAUGCCUGAAGGGGUCUAAGUGUUACCACACAAAAGAAAAUUGAGCUAAGAAACACCCAUUCAGAGGGGUAACAGCACAGGGUUAGAGCAUUUGAUUGGACAUCACAGGUGCUGGGAUAUAGACUGCCUGGAAGAAAGGAGGUUCCCAGAUCAGUGCUUUGGUCAGCUCACAUUGGAGGAAGCUUCUUCUUGCAGCAGAUGGAAGUUAACACGGAGACCCACAAAUGGGCAGUGUACAGAGGGUGAGAGACUGUGCAGCACUCAGUAGUAAAUGGGAUCCCUUCCUCAAGCCCCUACACCCAAGGUCAGAGUGCUGUGCUGAAGAGGAGGCAGAAAGGCUGUAAGAGCCAAAGCUGGUGGACAAUCCAAGGAAGCAGUGUCACCAGUUUUGUGUUUCAUUUUGCCUUCAGAUCUGCAAAAGAGUGAAAAGUUGUAACCAUAGUAAAGA